GGGGGUGAAAGGGUUUUAAAUCUUCAGAAAGAAAAGCUGAUUGAGAUUGCUAAAAGAUGUAAAAAUUCUUUCUGGAAGGAUGUUUUACUAUGCUUUUCCGCUGCAAAACCUAUUACUGAGAUUUCUGUCAGUGACAUUUUAUCCUUAGAUAUUUUGAACUUUUCUUCUUUGGAUGAUUUCCCAUAUUACAUUCAAUGGGAAAAGGGGGGUGUGCAGUCAGUAAGUGACCUUAUUAAUCGUGAAAAUAUGAUUUUUUAUAAAUUUGAGCAAUUUCAAGAAAAAGUACAAACCAACAAUUUUAUUAAAUAUUAUGGUUUGAUAUCAAAAAUCCCUA
Molecule: long non-coding RNA, 334 nt
Filed under: Mytilus galloprovincialis (Mediterranean mussel)
Lineage: Eukaryota; Metazoa; Mollusca; Bivalvia; Mytilida; Mytilidae
Source: RNAcentral